GAGUUUGAUCCUGGCUCAGGAUGAACGCUGGCGGCGUGCCUAAUACAUGCAAGUCGAGCGAACGGACGAGAAGCUUGCUUCUCUGAUGUUAGCGGCGGACGGGUGAGUAACACGUGGGUAACCUACCUAUAAGACUGGGAUAACUCCGGGAAACCGGGGCUAAUACCGGAUAACACAUGAAACCGCAUGGUUUCAUGAUGAAAGACGGUCUUGCUGUCACUUAUAGAUGGAUCCGCGCUGCAUUAGCUAGUUGGUAAGGUAACGGCUUACCAAGGCAACGAUGCAUAGCCGACCUGAGAGGGUGAUCGGCCACACUGGAACUGAGACACGGUCCAGACUCCUACGGGAGGCAGCAGUAGGGAAUCUUCCGCAAUGGGCGAAAGCCUGACGGAGCAACGCCGCGUGUGUGAUGAAGGUCUUCGGAUCGUAAAACUCUGUUAUUAGGGAAGAACAUAUGUGUAAGUAACUGUGCACAUCUUGACGGUACCU
RNAcentral lists this ribosomal RNA (489 nucleotides) under uncultured microorganism. RNAcentral describes it as "bacterial SSU rRNA". It matches the Rfam family "Bacterial small subunit ribosomal RNA", at positions 9 to 480 of the family's 1533-position model. The record is from RNAcentral.